RNAcentral lists this ribosomal RNA (355 nucleotides) under Pseudomonadota bacterium. Its description in RNAcentral is "bacterial SSU rRNA". It matches the Rfam family "Bacterial small subunit ribosomal RNA", at positions 1 to 358 of the family's 1533-position model. Lineage: Bacteria; Pseudomonadati; Pseudomonadota. The record is from RNAcentral.
UAAUUGAAGAGUUUGAUCAUGGCUCAGAUUGAACGCUGGCGGUAGGCUUAACACAUGCAAGUCGUGCGAGAAAGUAUCUUCGGAUAUGAGUAGAGCGGCGGACGGGUGAGUAACGCGUAGGAAUCUACCUAGUAGAAGGGGAUAGCCCGGGGAAACCCGGAUUAAUACCGUAUACCUCCUUCGGGAGAAAGAAGGCCUCUCUUUGAAGCUUUCGCUAUUAGAUGAGCCUGCGUAAGAUUAGCUUGUUGGUGAGGUAAAGGCUCACCAAGGCGACGAUCUUUAGCUGGUCUGAGAGGACGAUCAGCCACAUUGGGACUGAGACACGGCCCAGACUCCUACGGGAGGCAGCAGUGGG